RNAcentral lists this ribosomal RNA (433 nucleotides) under Campylobacter sp. oral taxon 044. RNAcentral describes it as "bacterial SSU rRNA". It matches the Rfam family "Bacterial small subunit ribosomal RNA", at positions 29 to 478 of the family's 1533-position model. The record is from RNAcentral. Lineage: Bacteria; Pseudomonadati; Campylobacterota; Epsilonproteobacteria; Campylobacterales; Campylobacteraceae.
AGUGAACGCUGGCGGCGUGCCUAAUACAUGCAAGUCGAACGGAGAUUAAAUAGCUUGCUAUUUAAUCUUAGUGGCGCACGGGUGAGUAAUGUAUAGUUAAUCUGCCCCAUAGUGGAGGACAACAGUUAGAAAUGACUGCUAAUACUCCAUACUCCUUCUUAUCAUAAGUUAAGUCGGGAAAGUUUUUCGCUAUGGGAUGAGACUAUAUCGUAUCAGUUAGUUGGUAAGGUAAUGGCUUACCAAGGCUAUGACGCGUAACUGGUCUGAGAGGAUGAUCAGUCACAUUGGAACUGAGACACGGUCCAAACUCCUACGGGAGGCAGCAGUAGGGAAUAUUGCGCAAUGGGGGAAACCCUGACGCAGCAACGCCGCGUGGAGGAUGACACUUUUCGGAGCGUAAACUCCUUUUGUUAGGGAAGAAUAAUGACGGUAC